Molecule: small nuclear RNA, 107 nt
Organism: Ailuropoda melanoleuca (giant panda)
Lineage: Eukaryota; Metazoa; Chordata; Mammalia; Carnivora; Ursidae
Source: Ensembl
GUGCUUGUUUCAGCAGCACAUACACUGAAGUUGGAAUGGUUCAGAGAAGAUUAGAGUGGCCCCUGUGCAAUGACUACAGAAAAAUUUAUGAAGUAUUCCAUAUUUAA